CAUAGUUACUGGAUUCCCGAAAGGAUUCACAUUUGUGAAGAAGCCUUGUAACCGAAACUAUCAAAGGGGGAACAAUUAUUAUG
Molecule: small RNA, 83 nt
Filed under: Carnobacterium divergens
Lineage: Bacteria; Bacillati; Bacillota; Bacilli; Lactobacillales; Carnobacteriaceae
Also listed under: 1 other name
Description: SAM-III sequence
Rfam family: SAM-III riboswitch aptamer (SMK box)
Source: RNAcentral